AUUCGUUCAUUUCACUUAAUUUUAUCAUGGUUCUUUUAUAUUAUUAUGAUUUAUGGAAUUUGUUAGUCCUUAAUUCACUGACACGAUGUUCUUGUUGAUUUUUACCUGAGCGAGUGUUUUGUGAAUAACUCUUGUUGGUUAUGGGGUUUUGUUUGUUUGUUGAAUUAUCAAGUUACUUGGUGCAACUAUUUUGCUGUAGCAUGUCAAAUAGUCCUUAAUUCCCUUUUGUUUUUGUUAGAUUUUUGAAAAAUAAUAUUAAUACCGGGUUUUUGCUUUGUUGCUUUCUGGAAGAAGCUUGCUCGAAGACUUCUCUUUGACAAGAGUGCCAAUGAUGAUCACGAGAGAAGUAUUUUGACAAAAUUGAAGCAACAAUGUGGUUGACAGUUUACCUUAAAGAUGGAAGGGAUGGUUACAGAUUUGACAUUGGCAAAGGAGAAUAAAAAAAGUUACAAAGUUUUUUAUCUCAAUCUUCCUGCAGAAAUGGUGUGGUGAGAAGAAAUCAAAGAGAAGGAGAAGGGGAAUAAAUAAUUAUGUUCUUGACUCCUGCUUUCAAGAUCAAUGAAGCUGCACAUAAAUCAACUAAAACGGAAAGGAUGAGGAUCCUUAGGUCUACGAGUUCCACUAGAAAGGUUACCUCAAAAUCUUAUAUGAUUAUUUUUGCUAAUGAGAUUGUUUGUUCAAUUUGAAACAUUUUACUGAUGAAUCCAACUUUUAGAAAUGUGAAGCAGCACAGCAAGCUCGUGAUGCAAAUGAGNCAGAGUCUCCUUUGGAUACAAGACAAUCAUCUGAUGGAAGUAACAUUUAGGAANUUUAUGAUAUUGUUUUAGGAUAAAACUAGACCUAUUUAUUAUGAAUGGAGUAACAUUUCUUUAUUUGUAACUACUUCUAA
Vigna radiata var. radiata (mung bean) is the source of this 889-nucleotide long non-coding RNA. RefSeq lists it as uncharacterized. Lineage: Eukaryota; Viridiplantae; Streptophyta; Magnoliopsida; Fabales; Fabaceae. The transcript has 5 exons. The record is from RefSeq and is a predicted model, not a curated record.